UACGGAGGGGGUUAGCGUUGUUCGGAAUUACUGGGCGUAAAGCGUACGUAGGCGGAUUAGUCAGUCAGAGGUGAAAUCCCAGGGCUCAACCUGGAACUGCCUUUGAUACUGCUAGUCUUGAGUUCGAGAGAGGUGAGUGGAAUUCCAAGUGUAGAGGUGAAAUUCGUAGAUAUUUGGAGGAACACCAGUGGCGAAGGCGGCUCACUGGCUCGAUACUGACGCUGAGGUACGAAAGUGU
Molecule: ribosomal RNA, 238 nt
Filed under: uncultured bacterium
Lineage: Bacteria
Description: partial 16S ribosomal RNA
Rfam family: Bacterial small subunit ribosomal RNA
Source: RNAcentral